This 214-nucleotide ribosomal RNA is filed under the name Escherichia coli. RNAcentral describes it as "partial 23S ribosomal RNA". It matches the Rfam family "Bacterial large subunit ribosomal RNA", at positions 144 to 393 of the family's 2925-position model. The record is from RNAcentral. Lineage: Bacteria; Pseudomonadati; Pseudomonadota; Gammaproteobacteria; Enterobacterales; Enterobacteriaceae.
CACACUAUCAUUAACUGAAUCCAUAGGUUAAUGAGGCGAACCGGGGGAACUGAAACAUCUAAGUACCCCGAGGAAAAGAAAUCAACCGAGAUUCCCCCAGUAGCGGCGAGCGAACGGGGAGCAGCCCAGAGCCUGAAUCAGUGUGUGUGUUAGUGGAAGCGUCUGGAAAGGCGCGCGAUACAGGGUGACAGCCCCGUACACAAAAAUGCACAUA